RNAcentral lists this ribosomal RNA (253 nucleotides) under uncultured bacterium. RNAcentral describes it as "partial 16S ribosomal RNA". It matches the Rfam family "Bacterial small subunit ribosomal RNA", at positions 524 to 776 of the family's 1533-position model. The record is from RNAcentral.
UACGUAGGGUGCAAGCGUUGUUCGGGUUCAUUGGGCGUAAAGCGCGCGUAGGCGGCCCGGUAAGUCCGCUGUAAAAGUCCAGGGCUCAACCCUGGAAAGCCGGUGGAUACUGUGAGGCUAGAGUACGGAAGAGGCGAGUGGAAUUCCUGGUGUAGCGGUGGAAUGCGCAGAUAUCAGGAGGAACACCAAUAGCGAAGGCAGCUCGCUGGGACGUUACUGACACUGAGGCGCGAAAGCGUGGGGAGCGAACAGG